CAGCCAUAUGGCGCGGGUGAGAGCUUGGGGUACACCGAGGAGUUCCGCCUCAACCCGAUGUGCUUGCGGGAUAAGGAUCUCUGGCUUAUGUGGUGCCCAUUGAUAUGCAACUGGGCAGUUGAGUUUCAUUUGCCGCAUCGCGUGUAUCGUAUGUUUGAUAUUUUCCAGCCUCACUCGCCGGAUUGGGUGGACACGGACAAAGCACUUCAUAGGUUGGACAGGAGAAGGCAGCGGAAGAUAAAGGACUGGGACAAGCAUCAUGCUCCGUAUGUUACCCGCUUCCACCUUUCUGUGGAGCAAGCUCGUAGCACUGCACGUGCCCAGCUUCGUGAGCAUAACCCAGUUGCUUUUGAUAACUACAUACGAUGGCUUCUUGAAAAUACUCGAGUUGAGAUAUGCCCGCCGGCAUAUAAUGAGGAUAUUCUUGAAGAACUCGUAAACUUUGAGGAUCUAUCAAAGGGGAAGUACAACAGAGAUGUCAGGUUAGGGCAAGGAGUCCUUGCUGUUCCGGUGAUUAACUAUGUGCGCACCGAGAUCAAGAAAGCAGCUGAUGAGAGCCAGUCUAUUCUCGAGAACACACCGGUUGGAAAAGGCAAUGAUGAUGGUUCACUACGAGCAUUCCUCAAGCGUCAGGCCAGGAAGGUAAGGUGGUUAUCGAAUCUUCUCGGUUGCCGUGAUCCCGAAUUUGAUGAACCAUCUGCCUCUAGGUCUGGUACACCAUUAGACCCCUCAUCUCACCAUCAGGGGGACGAUGUGAGUUCCUCGUAUGCUUAUCGGGAUGAUGAGGGU
This 789-nucleotide ribosomal RNA is filed under the name Triticum aestivum (bread wheat). RNAcentral's name for it is "partial small subunit ribosomal RNA". The record is from RNAcentral. Lineage: Eukaryota; Viridiplantae; Streptophyta; Magnoliopsida; Poales; Poaceae.